This 528-nucleotide ribosomal RNA is filed under the name Triticum aestivum (bread wheat). RNAcentral describes it as "partial small subunit ribosomal RNA". The record is from RNAcentral. Lineage: Eukaryota; Viridiplantae; Streptophyta; Magnoliopsida; Poales; Poaceae.
AUGACCGUCGCUACGAGCCUUAUUUCUUCACCAUGGCUGAACUCGACGGCCAUUACCGCCCUUACGGACCGUUGGAGGCCGGAGACGCACUCUUUUCACCUUGCUCUUGGUGAGAUGACCGUCACUUUGGAGGAUAUUGCGAUGAUCUCUGGUCUUCCGAUCGAGGGCAGAGCUCUUACCGGGAAGGUGAAGUCCGAGGGGUGGCGACAAAGGGUUGCAGGUUUGGUUGGUGUUGAACCUCCCCCGUGGAUUCAUGAAACAAAGAAGGAUCCUAGGCCAUCUGGUGUUUUGUUCUCGUGGCUACAAGAACAUUUUUACGAGUGCCCAGAGAAUGCCAGUCCGGCUGUUGUGGAGAGGUACGCCAGGGCUUACUUAUGGAAUCUUUUGACCCAAGUGGUGUUUCCUGACGUCACGGGAGACACAGCCUCGUGGAUGUUCUUGGACCCUCUUCGUAACUGGGAUGUUAAGUGGAGUUGGGGGUCGGCGGCACUAGCCUUCUUGUACUGUCAGGUAAUGCUAAUUUCAUGA